GUCCACGCCCUAAACGAUGGCAACUGGGUGUUGGGGGAGCGAUUCCUCAGUACCGUAGCUAACGCGUGAAGUUGCCCGCCUGGGGAGUACGGCCGCAAGGUUAAAACUCAAAGGAAUUGACGGGGACCCGCACAAGCGGUGGAUGAUGUGGAUUAAUUCGAUGCAACGCGAACAACCUUACCUACCCUUGACAUGUCCGGAACCCCACUGAGAGGUGGGGGUGCCCGAAAGGGAAUCGGAACACAGGUGCUGCAUGGCUGUCGU
This 264-nucleotide ribosomal RNA is filed under the name uncultured bacterium. Its description in RNAcentral is "partial 16S ribosomal RNA". It matches the Rfam family "Bacterial small subunit ribosomal RNA", at positions 793 to 1055 of the family's 1533-position model. The record is from RNAcentral.